Molecule: non-coding RNA, 28 nt
Filed under: Mus musculus (house mouse)
Lineage: Eukaryota; Metazoa; Chordata; Mammalia; Rodentia; Muridae
Source: RNAcentral
UACUUAGGUGUUGGGGAUCCAAACUCAG